RNAcentral lists this ribosomal RNA (423 nucleotides) under uncultured bacterium. RNAcentral describes it as "bacterial SSU rRNA". It matches the Rfam family "Bacterial small subunit ribosomal RNA", at positions 355 to 775 of the family's 1533-position model. The record is from RNAcentral.
UAAGGAAUAUUGGUCAAUGGACGCAAGUCUGAACCAGCCAUGCCGCGUGGAGGAUGAAGGUCCUCUGGAUUGUAAACUUCUUUUAUCUGGGAAGAAAUGCAUCUUUUCUAAGGUGUUUGACGGUACCAGACGAAUAAGCACCGGCUAACUCCGUGCCAGCAGCCGCGGUAAUACGGAGGGUGCAAGCGUUAUCCGGAUUCACUGGGUUUAAAGGGUGCGUAGGUGGGUUGGUAAGUCAGUGGUGAAAUCUCCGGGCUUAACCCGGAAACUGCCAUUGAUACUACUGGUCUUGAAUGUCGUGGAGGUGAGCGGAAUAUGUCAUGUAGCGGUGAAAUGCUUAGAUAUGACAUAGAACACCAAUUGCGAAGGCAGCUCACUACACGGAUAUUGACACUGAGGCACGAAAGCGUGGGGAUCAAACAG